CUGGCGCCGCCGGGGCACUGGGAUGCUGCAGGAGACCCCUGAGAUACAUACAGGUGGACUCUCCCGGGGCGCAGGGAAGAAGGGAAAGCUGACUCCGAGAAGUAAGGAGGCCUGGCGGGGCAGAAGCCCCUCUGGGAAGAUUACAGGGACAGUCGGGGCCAUGGCGGUCAAAGGGAGAAGAGCAACGAGGGGUUUUAAAGGUCGGAACCGAGAUGCCCUCUAAAGAGGACGCCAUGAAGGAGAAGAACCCUCUGAAGAGGGACCGUGUGGAAGAUGCCCCGAGGACUCGGGGCGGCGGAGCCCGCGGGUUCAGCCCCCCGCGCCCGCACGGCCCCUGCCCGCGGAGGCCGCCCGCGGGAGCCGGACCCCGGGAGCCCGUUGCUGGGGCCCGCGAGGUCGCCGGGCCGCAGGCGUCGCGCUGAUUGGCUGCGCCUCGGGCGGAAGUGAUGCUGCUGUCACUGCUCCUCAGGCUCCCGGGAAGCCGCGAGUUUCCGCAGGGAGGCGGCGGCAGCUGCGGCCGGGUCGGUCUGUAGCCUUUGCUGAAUCAUCACAGAGAAAGUGAUGCCUUUUCUCCAUUUGCACAACAUGAGUGUGACGUGGUUAGCCAGACCAGGAGCUCAACCUCAUGUAGAGUCCAGACCACUGCUCUGAUGCCGAAGGGGAGGCAGAAAGUGCCACACUUGGAUGCCCCCCUGGGCCUGCCCACCUGCCUCUGGCUGGAAUUAGCCGGGCUCUUGUUACUGGUUCCCUGGGUCAUGGGCCUGGCAGGGACAGGUGGGCCUGAUGGCCAUGGUCCAGGGGGGCCAAGCUGGGCUGUGCACCUGGAAAGCCUGGAAGGUGAGGGGGAGGAAGAGACUCUGGAGCAGCAGGCGGAUACCUUGGCUCAGGCAGCAGGGCUGGUGAAUGCUGGACGCAUCGGAGAGCUUCAGGGGCACUACCUCUUUGUCCAGCCUGCUGGGUACAGACCGGCCCUGGAGAUGGAGGCCAUCCGGCAGCAGGUGGAGGCUGUGUUGGCUGGGCAUGAAGCUGUGCGCUGGCACUCAGAGCAGAGGCUGCUAAGGCGGGCCAAGCGCAGCGUCCACUUCAAUGACCCCAAGUACCCGCAGCAGUGGCACCUGAAUAACCGACGGAUCCCAGGCAGGGACAUCAAUGUGACGGGUGUGUGGGAGCGCAAUGUGACUGGGCGAGGGGUGACGGUGGUGGUAGUGGAUGACGGAGUGGAACACACCAUCCAGGACAUUGCACCCAACUAUAGCCCUGAGGGUAGCUAUGACCUCAACUCUAAUGACCCUGACCCCAUGCCUCACCCGGAUGUGGAGAAUGGCAACCACCAUGGCACACGAUGCGCAGGAGAGAUCGCGGCUGUGCCCAACAACAGCUUCUGUGCCGUGGGUGUGGCCUACGGGAGCCGCAUCGCAGGUAUCCGGGUACUGGAUGGACCUCUCACAGACAGCAUGGAGGCAGUGGCAUUCAACAAGCACUAUCAGAUCAAUGACAUCUACAGCUGCAGCUGGGGACCAGAUGAUGAUGGGAAGACAGUGGAUGGCCCCCAUCAGCUUGGAAAGGCUGCCUUGCAACAUGGGGUGAUUGCUGGUCGCCAGGGCUUUGGGAGUAUCUUUGUGGUAGCCAGUGGCAAUGGGGGCCAACACAACGACAACUGCAACUACGAUGGCUACGCCAACUCUAUCUACACAGUCACCAUAGGAGCUGUGGAUGAGGAGGGACACAUGCCUUUCUAUGCAGAAGAAUGUGCCUCCAUGCUGGCAGUCACCUUCAGUGGUGGGGACAAGAUGCUUCGGAGCAUUGUGACAACUGACUGGGACCUUCAGAAGGGCACUGGCUGCACUGAGGGCCACACAGGGACCUCAGCUGCAGCACCUCUGGCGGCUGGCAUGAUAGCCUUAAUGCUGCAGGUGCGGCCCUGCCUCACGUGGCGUGAUGUCCAGCACAUCAUUGUUUUCACAGCCACCCAGUACAAGGAUCACCGUGCAGAGUGGGUCACCAACGAGGCAGGCUUCAGCCAUAGCCACCAGCACGGUUUUGGACUGCUCAACGCUUGGAGGCUUGUGAAUGCAGCCAAGAUCUGGACAUCUGUUCCUUACUUAGCAUCCUACAUCAGUCCUGUGUUAAAAGAGAACAAGGCAAUUCCGCAGUCCCCCCGUUCCCUGGAGGUCCUGUGGAAUGUCAGCAGGACGGACCUGGAGAUGUCGGGACUGAAGACCCUGGAGCAUGUGGCAGUGACAGUCUCCAUCACUCACCCACGGCGAGGCAGCUUGGAACUGAAGCUGUUCUGCCCCAGCGGCAUGAUGUCCCUCAUCGGCACCCCCCGCAGCAUGGACUCGGAUCCUAAUGGCUUUGAUGACUGGACCUUCUCCACUGUGCGAUGCUGGGGGGAGAGAGCCCGGGGGACCUACAGGCUUGUUGUCAGGGAUGUCGGAUAGCAACAAAAAUUCCUUGUUGAAACCACAUUUCAAGUCCUUUCACAUAUAACCAUCCUUCGGCCAGCCCUGAUAGGCAGGGGAUGAGUCAUUCCAGGUCGGCAUCCUUCGGCAAUGGCAGCUGACCCUAUAUGGCUCUGUGUGGAGUCCAGUAGACAUCAGGGACAGACAAAGGCUGUUAGAAAGUGCCAUGAGCGGAAAAUACCUGCAUGAUGACUUUGUCCUGCCCUGCCCGCCUGGGCUGAAAAUUCCUGAGGAAGAUGGUUACACCAUCACCCCCAACACCCUCAAGACCCUGGUGCUGGUAGGCUGUUUCACCGUCUUCUGGACCGUUUACUACAUGGUGGAAGUAUAUUUGAGCCAGAGGAAUGUGGCUUCCAACCAAGCUUGUAGGAGUGGACCCUGCCACUGGCCCCAUCGAAGCCGGAAAGCCAAGGAGGAAGGGACAGAGCUAGAAUCAGUGCCACUUUGCAGCAGCAAGGAUCCAGACGAAGUAGAAACAGAGAGCAGGGGCCUUCCCACCACUUCUGACCUCCUUGCCCCAGACCCGUUGGAGCAAGGGGACUGGAGCCUGUCCCAGAACAAGAGCGCCUUGGACUGCCCCCAUCAGCACCUAGACCUACUGCACGGGAAGGAGGAGCAGAUCUGCUGACCUCAGGGCCUGACAGUAUGGGACAGGCUCUUCUUUCCCAAAAUUAGGGAGCUCCGGAGAGACCUGAUGCUUACAUCUGGAAUCUGAGGCCUAAACAGCAUCCUGUGACUCCACUCAGAGGGUGAGGGCCUUCUUAAGAUACAAAUGGCAGAGGAUUGGUGCCAGAGAAGUCUGGUGAGAGCCACAGGGUCUUCCUGCAGCCAAACAGGAGCUUUUGGGGAGAAGGUCUUGGACAGGGGAUUGGCGCCCCCUUUGGGUAGUCCUCCAUCUUCAUCUCUCUUGGGCAAGCCAGUUGUCUAGGUCCCCCAUGCAUGGGGGCCCCCCACCCACACGAGUUGAGAAGGUGCCUGCCAUAGCCAGGAGUGCAUCUCCAUGGAAACAUGACUGGGGUCACUUGGGAAGAAGACUUUGGGGUAAAGGCUGGGAAGAGCCCCUGGACAUGCCUGUCCUGAAAGUGGCCACCUCCAUUAUCCAUUCCCAAGAUGCCUGAUCAGAAGCCAACCUUGAAUGAACCCCUGGCUCUUCACCACCACCACCACCACCCCCCACCCGCCGUGAUUGGUCCGAUGCUGCUGGCACAGCUGGGAUACACACAGCUUCCCCGGGCCUGAGCUGCUUCACUAGGGAAUCCCACGGCAGGACUGCAGAGCAGAUGGCAGACGUGUGUGUCGGAGGAGACAGCCUUGAGAGCCGCUGCCACUCCAGUCCUGCCACCACCCUGUCUUCCUCUGCAAGUGCUCAGGGAAAUGGCCUUCCCGCCAGAGGCCAGCUAUCUGCCUGACAGGCUGUGACUCUUCUCUCAAUCUUGGCCUUCUCCCCUCUUCUGAGCUAGUUGGUUGAUUUGAAUUUUUUUUAAUGCUUAAGAUUUGUUUGUCUCUUUUCACAGCAACAUUUUCCUGAAUUUUUUUCUGCACAGCUUUUCCAAAAUAAAAACCUUCCAAACAA
RNA transcript from Cebus imitator (Panamanian white-faced capuchin), 4035 nucleotides. It is a transcript of the gene named proprotein convertase subtilisin/kexin type 7, with no coding region annotated. NCBI's taxonomy places the organism in Eukaryota, Metazoa, Chordata, Mammalia, Primates, Cebidae. The record is from RefSeq and is a predicted model, not a curated record. The transcript is spliced from 18 exons.